Molecule: RNA transcript, 3149 nt
Organism: Rhinichthys klamathensis goyatoka
Lineage: Eukaryota; Metazoa; Chordata; Actinopteri; Cypriniformes; Leuciscidae
Gene: tmem63a
Gene name: transmembrane protein 63A
Exons: 24
Source: RefSeq, a predicted model, not a curated record
GUGUAUCUGCGCAUGUGCGGAUAUGAGUCAUUGUAAAGUUUCGUUUAGUUUAAUCUCAGCUCAGUUGACAACCCGACCGUUUUUGGACAACCCAGAAGCGGAAAACCGAGAUGGCCUCCACGUGGUGGGGGCAGCUCUCCGUGCCGGUGGAUAAUGGCACUGUCCAUGUGGACAACAGUAGCUGUUUCAGUGCCACGCAGAGCACUGUGCUGAAGGGGGUGAAUUUCGGAGGUGUGCCCAUCGUUCUGCUGCUCGAUUUUAUAGUCUUCCUGGUGCUGCUAUUGGUCUUCACUGUGAUCAGAAGGAGACUGUGGGAUUAUGGGAGACUCGCUCUUGUUGCAGAGACUGAAGGAGACUUCAGUAAACGACAUUACCGUAGAAUGACAUCAUCCAUAUCCAUUGAGGAGCCUGACUACGAGAAGGGUUGCUGCUCUUGGGUCACCUUUAUCGUCAAUAUGGAUGAGUCUACAGUCCAGGAGAGAUGUGGGGUGGAUGCAGUACAUUAUCUGUCAUUUCAGAAGCACUUGGUCACCCUGCUCUUGCUCAUCUGUGUGCUGUCUGUGUCCGUCAUCCUACCAGUCAACCUGUCCGGGGACCUGCUGGGCAAUGAUCCAUACAGUUUCGGGAGAACCACCAUAGGGAAUCUUAAGCAGGGUGAUAAGCUGCUUUGGCUGCACACUGUAUUUGCAGUUCUAUAUCUCAUGAUCACGGUGGCCCUGCUGAGACGCCACACCUCUAAAAUGAAGGGAACCAAGAGAGAGAUAGCCAGAAACACCCUGUUUGUGAGGUCUGUACCCACUGCAGCCAGUGAUGAGAGUAUAAAAACUCACUUUGUGGAGGCAUACCCUACCUGUCAAGUGACUGAAGUUAACUUGUGUUAUGAUGUUGCCAAACUGAUUGACCUGGACAGAAACAGAAAACGGGCAGAAAACAACCUGCAGCAUUACCGUAAGAUACUCGAUCGCCAGGGACAACGUGGGGUCAUCAACCCGCGCCCAUGCAGCCACCUGUGCUGCUGCUGCCACUGUGAGGGGUGUGAAAAGGUUGAUGCUAUAGAGUUCUACAGUUCACAAGAAGCUGCUCUGCUUGAGGAGGAAGAUAAACUAAAGCAGAGUAGGCUGUACCCUCUGGGCAUGGCAUUUGUCACCCUCCAAAAUGAGUACAUGGCCGCUUAUAUUCUGAAAGAUUUCAAUGCUCUAGAGUGUGGAGGCGGGACAAGGGGUGUGGUUGGAGAAGAAAUGGGUGGGGGAAUCACGUGUGGGUGUGGCCGAGAGCCUCAGCCGUCCUCUAAGAGUGCAGAGCUGAGGGUGCACAAAUGGAAAGUGUAUUACGCUCCUCACCCUCAUAAUAUUUACUGGGAGAAUUUGUCAUUACGUGGGUGGCGUUGGUGGCUACGUUGUGUGCUUCUGAAUGUUGCACUCUUCUUCCUCCUCUUCUUCCUCACAACACCCUCCAUCAUCAUCACCACCAUGGACAAGUUUAAUGUCACCAAGCCCAUUCACUAUCUGAACAGUGCCGUUAUCAGCCAGUUCUUCCCCACUCUUUUACUGUGGACCUUCUCUGCCCUGUUGCCCACUAUAGUGUAUUACUCUACACUGGGAGAAUCUCACUGGACCAGGUCUAGUGAGAAUAUGAGCAUGAUGUACAAGCUCUACAUAUUUCUGAUCUUCAUGGUGUUGAUUUUGCCAUCACUGGGCCUCACCAGUCUGGACGUGUUUUUCCGCUGGUUGUUUGAUAAGUCGUCUGUGGGAAAGCUGAGGUUUGAGUGUGUGUUUUUACCUGAUCAGGGGGCGUUCUUUGUAAAUUACGUGAUCACAGCGGCUCUGGUGGGCACAGGCAUGGAGCUGCUGCGGUUGCCAGGGUUACUGCUCUACAUCGUGCGUCUGGCACUCGCACAUUCGGCUGCUGAGAGGAAAUACGUUAAACAGAAUCAGGCAUACGAGUUUCAGUACGGCGCGAUGUACGGAUGGACUCUGUGUGUGUUCACGGUCAUCAUGGCGUACAGCAUCACCUGUCCUGUCAUCGUCCCUUUCGGUCUGCUGUACUUGUUGCUGAAACACCUGGUGGACAAACACAACCUGUACUUCGCUUACCUGCCCGCCCGCCUUGACCGGCAAGUUCACCUGGGAGCUGUCAAUCAAGCGUUGGCUGCACCAAUCAUAUGCCUGAUGUGGCUUUAUUUUUUCUCUGUGCUCAGGACAGGCUUCAUGGCAGUCACGUCACUGUUCACACUAGUGGUUCUGUGCGUCACCAUCUUUAUCUGUAUAAGCUACACUUGCUUUGGACACUUCAAAUACCUCAGUCCCCACAACUACAACAUUAAGGAGGAAGAUGAAGACGCAGCAUCAACAUGCUCAUCUGCAUCGGUGUAUCUUCCUAAAGUUCUGAACCCAGACGCGUCGUCCGAGUCUUCUGAUGAGUGCAGCACUCGGCAAUCCUACGGCACGACAGACACAAGCCCGCCCUUCCUCAGCACUGAGGAAGACUGUCCAGACUCUGAUAUCUAACAACAAUUAUCAGUCUACAUGUAGACUGAUCCAACUGCCCUUUGGAGGAAAUGGUUCUUGCCGUAUUGGCGGUUGGAGAUGGUGCGCGCUCUUUUCGGAAGCCAUGAUUGAUGCCUCCUCUGACCCCGUGACCCGGAGUACGUAUGACUGAUCUCUAUGCCAGCCAACCACAAAGCCCGACGGCAUUGAUUUCCCCUUCUUAUCCCUCCCUUUUGUCUGCUGGGAUUAUUCCCAUGGCAACGCUGGUGGUCCGUAAGGUAACGUUCUCAGAGCCGAGAGUAAUAGACCCUCGCCAAGCCCUGGGGGUAAACUUAUUCCACUUCACCCAAACAGAACUUUUAAGGGAAAACUAAUAGCAAAGUUUUGUUUCCUUGCCAGACGUCUCUUAAGGUUUGCAGAGUUUACUCAGCGAAGAAACAGAGCCAGAAAGAAGAAAAAAAAACGAGAAAAGAAACUGAAGAAUUAGAGGGAGAAUUCCCAGAUUGGGACAUUUGCUCCAUUAUCUGAUCAUCAGCAGAAUAAGGGAUUGUUCACCAAAACUAUUUCUGACUUGUUCUCUGUCAUCGUUUACUCGACUUCAUGUCGUUGAAUAUGAUUUUCUUUCUUGUGGGGAAGAAACAGAAUGAGGAUAAGUACUGAGAU